RNAcentral lists this ribosomal RNA (441 nucleotides) under Triticum aestivum (bread wheat). RNAcentral's name for it is "partial small subunit ribosomal RNA". Lineage: Eukaryota; Viridiplantae; Streptophyta; Magnoliopsida; Poales; Poaceae. The record is from RNAcentral.
AUGGCACUGGAACUUGCUGCUUCAUAUUCUCAGCAAAAUGUUUCUAUGGUGGCCCCUUCUCAGGAUGAAUGUGGUCUUGAUCCUGUUGAUCAUGAACCUAACUACGAUCAAUCUCUGAAGAUCUCUGAGGUGGUGGGAGAGGUGGAAGAAAACACGAAGACCUCCAAGGAUUACACGAUACAACUUCCUCAUCCUGAUUGCGAGGAGAUUAUUCCUACACCACCACUUUCCCUUGAGCUACAUCUUCGGUUCAGCCAACGCAACACACACCUUCAUCACAUGGAUAUGGAGGCGAGGGCCACCCAUCUAGCCAAUGUCAAAAACUUGAAAGGUCUGCAAGCUGGGGACGACAUCAAGCAACUUCGAGCGGGUGCUGAGAUGAUUCGCAACGGGGCCCUGCUGCUGAUGAGGGCCUGCGACGCGUCCAAGGGUGGAAUGUGA